This 54-nucleotide ribosomal RNA is filed under the name Candelariella vitellina. Its description in RNAcentral is "partial 25S ribosomal RNA". Lineage: Eukaryota; Fungi; Ascomycota; Candelariomycetes; Candelariales; Candelariaceae. The record is from RNAcentral.
CUCGGAUCAGGUAGGGAUACCCGCUGAACUUAAGCAUAUCAUNAAGCGGAGGAA